Molecule: ribosomal RNA, 205 nt
Filed under: uncultured bacterium
Lineage: Bacteria
Description: partial 16S ribosomal RNA
Rfam family: Bacterial small subunit ribosomal RNA
Source: RNAcentral
ACUCCUACGGGAGGCAGCAGUGGGGAAUAUUGCACAAUGGGCGCAAGCCUGAUGCAGCCAUGCCGCGUGUGUGAAGAAGGCCUUCGGGUUGUAAAGCACUUUCAGUCGUGAGGAAGGUAGUGUAGUUAAUAGCUUAGCUGACUUUUUAACGUUAGCGACAGAAGAAGCACCGGCUAACUCCGUGCCAGCAGCCGCGGUAAUACGG